RNAcentral lists this ribosomal RNA (697 nucleotides) under uncultured bacterium. Its description in RNAcentral is "bacterial SSU rRNA". It matches the Rfam family "Bacterial small subunit ribosomal RNA", at positions 8 to 703 of the family's 1533-position model. The record is from RNAcentral.
AGAGUUUGAUUAUGGCUCAGGCCCUUCAAUGGCGGCGCGCCUAACACAUGCAAGUCGAACGGCCCUUAUAUUUCAGAAGUUUUCGGAUGGACGAGAGAUAAGCUUAGUGGCGGACGGGUGAGUAACACGUGAGCAACCUGCCUUUCAGAGGGGGAUAACAGUUGGAAACGACUGCUAAUACCGCAUAACGCUGCGAUGGGGCAUCCCGAUGCAGCCAAAGGAGCAAUCCGCUGAAAGAUGGGCUCGCGGCCGAUUAGCUAGUUGGUGGGGCAACGGCCCACCAAGGCGACGAUCGGUAGCCGGACUGAGAGGUUGAUCGGCCACAUUGGGACUGAGACACGGCCCAGACUCCUACGGGAGGCAGCAGUGGGGGAUAUUGCACAAUGGAGGAAACUCUGAUGCAUCGACGCCGCGUGAGGGAAGACGGUCUUCGGAUUGUAAACCUCUGUCUUUGGGGAAGAAAAUGACGGUACCCAUAGAGGAAGCUCCGGCUAACUACGUGCCAGCAGCCGCGGUAAUACGUAGGGAGCGAGCGUUGUCCGGAAUUACUGGGUGUAUAGGGAGCGUAUGCGGGCGAGAACGUUGAAUGUUAUAUCUACCGGCUUAUCUGGUAGCUGCGUUCAAAACUUCUUGUCUUGAGUGAAGUAGAGGCAGGCGGAUUUCCUACUGUAUUGGUGAAAUGCGUACAUUUUACGAC